Molecule: ribosomal RNA, 500 nt
Filed under: uncultured bacterium
Lineage: Bacteria
Description: partial 16S ribosomal RNA
Rfam family: Bacterial small subunit ribosomal RNA
Source: RNAcentral
GACGAACGCUGGCGGCGUGCUUAACACAUGCAAGUCGAACGGGCCUGUCUUCUUUUUUGGGGGGUGGGUUGAGUGGCGAACGGGUGAGUAUCACGUGAGUAACCUGCCCUUCGGUCCUGGAUAACCGCUUGAAAGGGCGGCUAAUACGGGGUGGUCCGGUUGGUCCGCAUGGGCUGGUCGGGAUAGAUUCACUGUUUUUGGUGUUUCGGCGGGGGAUGGGCUCGCGGCCUAUCAGCUUGUUGGUGGGGUGAUGGCCUACCAAGGCGGUGACGGGUAGCCGGGCUGAGGGGGUGGGCGGCCACACUGGGACUGAGAUACGGCCCAGACUCCUGCGGGAGGGAGCAGUGGGGGGUAUUGCACAAGGGGCGGAAGCCUGAUGCAGCGACGUCGCGUGAGGGAUGGAGGCCUUCGGGUUGUGAACCUCUGUUUCCGGUGGUGAAGGCCCUGUCCGUGUGGUGGGGUUGACGGUAGCCGGGGAUGAAGCGCCGGCUAACUACGUG